CACUCACACAAUCCAAUUUUUAAGAAGUCCAAUUAUUUUGAUGAUUUUCGAUUUCACCCAUUUCUCAAAGACAAGUGAAGAAUUCGUGGAAUUUAGGGGAUGGUGAAGUCAUGUUUUUAUUGUGUCUCUGCUUCUUUUUACUUUUUACUCAAGCCCCAUGGAGGACAGCUCUGAUCUUUAGAAUUAAGCACCACCAAGCUCUCCCAUUAAUAAAUUUAAUUUAAAUCUCUUAAUUUCUUGCUUAUGUUGUUCCAGAUAGGCAAUUAAAUGUGGAAGUAGUUUUGUGUUUUAAAGGGAAGUCUUAGAGGAUUUUCAGUAAAUGUCUAAUGAGUGUGGCUGUGUUGACAGUCUGUCUCUCAGUAGAUUGAUGAGACAGGGAAGGCUGGCUGCCUCGGGAGCAGAGCUUGUGGCGCUGUCCAGGCUCUGGGUGCUGAACAAUAUUGGGCGCAGAUGCUACAAACGUUGAAAAUUGCCACUGGCUUAAUUUUCACCACAGCCUCUAAAUCUGAAGGAUUGGCAGUGGUGCUCUUACUGUGGCAAUUCAUUGUCUAAAUCGCACCGCUGUUCAGAUCUAUCUCCCCUUACAUCCUGUGUCCAUGAAUGUCCCAGUGCUCAGAAACCUUCUUAAUCCCUGCCUUAGAUUUCAGUGCAGAGCUGUUUCUUCUUAGUUAGUCCUGGUAUUUGGAUCUCUACCUUCCUUGUUUGCACACUUUCACACUCUUUGUGGCUCUUACUGAUUUUAAAAAUUGAAACCAUGGCAUCAUGUUUUCUGCAAGAAUUGAAAUUUUAAGACUGUGAGAGUGAGAAAUGUGUGUCUUACACUUCUCUUAUAAGUUGAAUUCUGUUUAGGGAAAUACAGACUGGGAAUGCAGGAUUCCUAGCACAAGUUUUCUUGGUGAAGGCUGCUACCAGGAACCUUUCCCUGGGAAUAGUUAAUAGCUUUAACUAAAAAUAAAAUGAGAAGAAGAAAUAAAUAAGGAAAGACCACAUCCACUGGGAACUUUCUGAGCCCCUGAGUAGUUCCAGAAGAUUCAUAAAUUUCUGGUCCACUAAGAGAUCUUGAGUGUCUUCCUUUUCAGAGGGAAAUAGAAGCAUCAAUAACCAUUAGUGCACAUUUUGACUAUUUGGACCUUAUACACACAAAAAAUUAGAGGAAAUUACAAUUAAGUAGGAGUGUUUCCUGUUACUGUAAUUUGGGGCUUGUGUUUAAAUAAGCUGUUAGUUCUGCAUACUUUUUCAAAGGCAUAGUGUUUCUCAUUUUUAAUGCUAUCCUCACUUUUUGAGAUUUAAUUCUUCCUCCAAGAAUGAAACUUUUUCCUUAUUUCCUGGCUAGGAAUGAUCCACAGCUGCCUGUUUCCUCUUUAUUUCCUUCUAGCUUUAUAUUGCCUACUUUCAACAAAUGACAUUUCAUUUCUCAGUGUGUUAUGAUACAUCUGUUUGCUGGAGUAUCUACAUACCUGUAUUACAUGUUUGGUGACCACCUUCCCCAGCCCUCACACAAAGAGCCUGCGGUGAAUAAGAAGGAUAAUCUAGCAGAACCGCCUUUCUUAACAAACUUGCCCAAAGCUAUUGCCUACAGUGACUUUCCUGACUUCAACCUCUCUGCAAGUCAAAGGUGAACCCCAUUAAAAUCCUCACUUUUGCCUCCCAUUUGAAUUCUGAAAUGAGUUCAAUUUGGAAAAAUCUUAUAAAAUCUCCAAGACUACUUGUUUAAAAUUCACUGCUCAAUGCCCAACUUUAGUCAAGAGAGCCACCAUGUGGGGAGUUUUGAUGACUUCAAGAUCUGUUAAAGGAAGAAACCACAAACAGGAAAAUUAAGCAAGCCUUCAAGAGUGCCAGCUUGCUUCCAGCUCACUGGGGUUGUGCCAGUCUCGCUCAAUGGACCUCAAAGUUUGGUAGACUUCCCAGGCUGACCAUUUCUCUCCAGACUACAAAACCCAGGAAUGUUACAUUAGCUGGAAUCAUAUUAUCAUAGAAAAGAUGGAAGAGCCAGGAAAUCUUGGAAUGCAAGCUCUCACCACUGUCCUCCAACAGGCAGUGGCUGAAGACCAGUGAAGUGGGACUCAGUUUCCCAGUUGGCAUUUAGCAUCCGAACCAGGCUACUGUGAGCCCUUUUGGUGAACAAGCUUAAUACAGAACAUCAUCCUCCUUGGUGAAUGACAGAAGGAAGCCCAAAUGUUUUGCCACAGAACAUCAUGACCAUGGAUUACUUUGCUGCCUGCAUCAUUCACUUCUAAACUCACUGUGAAGUAAGGAGAGAUGAGCUUACCCGUAAUGUGUCAUGACUUCUCUGACCUUCAGAGUGGAAUGCCUCCCACUCUGAAAACAACCAGGAAAGGGAGCCUCUCCAAACCACAUGACUGUCUAUUGGUCAAAGUAAAAGAAACAGAUGGCAUCGCUGCUUCCUGGAAGGUCAUUAGCAACAACAGCAUGAACUGGAAAGACGUUUUGACUGUUGCUUGCUCAGCCUUACAGCCCUCUAAAACUACAAGAUGAUUCCUCCUGCAACGCAGUCUGCAACUUCAGGAAUUCCAUUUGCCAGAUGUAUGGGGGGGGAAAGUUUGUUAAAUAUUCAGAUGAAGCCUUGAGACUCCUAGAUUUUAUUGGACUCUUUUUGUUGUUGUGGGGUUUUAUUGUUUUUGAGACAGGGUCUUACUAUGUACUCCCAACUCCCUGGAACUCACUAUGUAGACCAGGCUGGCCUCAAAUUCAUAGAUAUCCACUUGCCACUUGCUUCCCAAGUGCUGGGGUUUAAAGUAUGUAGAACCACCAUACCUGGAUGGACUCUUCUUUACAGAAACUUUAGAUGUUUCACUAGCAGUGAGAUUUUGGAAUGGGAAAGAUCCUCAAGCCAACCUCAGUGGAUUUCUAAGAGACUUUUGGUCCUAUUUAUUUAUUUGCUUUUGCACAGGGUCUCACUAGCUAACUCUGACUGACUUAGAACUUGCAAUGUAAACCAGGCUGGCCUUGAAUUCAGAGAUCUGCCUGUCUCUGCUUCCUCAGUGUUAUGAUUAAAGGCAUCCUCUAACCCAAGAACCUUCAUUAGAUAAGACCUUGUAACCCAGACCAACCUUGAACUUCCUAUGUAUUGAAGGAUGACCUUGAGUCCCCGAUUCUCCUGCCUUCAUCUCCUAAAAUGCUGGGAUUCCAGGCAGUUAACAGGCUUUAGAUCCUUCUGACUUUGCCCUGCCCUCUCCCAGCUUUAAAAAAAAAAUGUAUCUCCUCCCCCCUCUGUGUGUGUCUGUGUGUGUGUGUGUGUGUGUGUGUGUGUGUGUGUGUGUGUGUGUGCUCACAAGAACCAAAAGAAGGCCUCAGAUCCCCUGGAGCUAGAGCAUAAGCAGUUGUGAGCUGCCUGAAAUGAGUACUAGGAACUUGGCUCCCAUGCAAGAGCUGCAAAUGCCCCUAACUAUUGAGUCCUUUCUCCAGUCUGUCUCCCAGAUUUCAAUAGUCCCUUAAUCCCUUAGUUUCUGGGAAAUGUAAGGCCUUCACUCCCCACUGUAGUGGGUAGCCAUUCCAGCUUUGAUCUGGAAGUUCCAACCCCCAUUGAGACUUCCGCAACUGUCACGCCUACAAGGCGGGGCCAAGGGAGGCGCCUGGAGACCUGAGAUCUGGAUGGGCUGCGCUCUCACUCGGUUCCGGGACCUUGGACGGUGAAGGUGGGCCAAGCAGAGCUCCAGAGAACACCGCUGGACUGCGAUACACCUUCCCCAGACCCCGCGACCUACCUAUCCCUUAACUUGUAAGGUACGCCAUUAAAUAAAUCUCCUUUUAACUACGUGGAGUGACCUUAAUAAUCUCACCAAUACCCCACACCUUUUUUUUUUUUUUUUUUAAGAAAAAAGGCUCUUUGCCACAUCUCUUAAUACUGAUCAACUGAGAAACUAGGCUUUCCACCUUUACAUAUUUUGAUGGGAGAAAGAUUAUGGGAAAUAGAAAGGAAAACUUUCUGCCCCUCCCUAAGAGAAGAGAAGAGGGCUGGAGUCGGUCGUACCUGUUUCCCUCUCCUCAACAAUCGAGCCUGGCUCCAAGAACAAACCAGAACAGCACCAAAGGACAGAUGCAAGAAUCUGUGUGAAAGACACUGAUGGAGAUGGAACCCAGGACCUCACCCAUGUUAGACAAGUGCUUCUACCACUGGACUACAUCACAGCCCCUCCCAAAGUUCCUGUAAAGGCAGGGUCCAGAAUAAAGACAGUCAGUGGAUAUAAAAAUAAAUGCCAUUUUAAAAAUUAUCUGGGUCAGUGAGAUGGCUCUUGCCCUCAGACGUGAUGUCCUGAGUUCAAUCCCCAGGACCUGCUUAGGGUAAUGAAAAGAGAGAACUGACUCUCACAAAUUGUCCUAUGACCUCCUCGUGUGUAGUAUGGUACAGAUGCAUGUACACAUAUGCACAUGUACACAUGAGUAAAUAAACAUAAUUUUAAUUUUUAAGAUUUGUUUAAUAUGUGUGUUGUGAGGGAGAGGGUGUACAUGAGUUCAGUCUUCCACAGAGGCUAGAGGCAUUGGAUCACCCUGGAGCUGGAGUCAUAGACAGUUUGAGCUACCUGACAUGGCCUCAUGAACUCAGGUCCUGUGCAAAAGCAGUUUAUGCUCCUAACCUCUGAGCCACCUCUCCAGACCCAUUAAAAACCAUUUUCAACUUUCUACAUUAAAAAAAAAAAUCCACAAGCCACUAAAAUCCCAGGUACUUGAGAGUCAGGGAGCCGGGGAAUCACAUGAGCUCAGAAGUUGGAGGCCAACCUGGGUAACACAGACCCCUUCUCAAGCAAGCAAGCAAACAAACAAACAAAAUCUAUAAAUACAUUUAAAUGAUACACAUAUAAACUUUGAGACAAUAUUGGCAUCAUUUGUGAAAAUAUAAGGCAUUCAAGAUUGCAACAUAAAGGAAUGUUUAUUUAUAAAGAAAAUGCAGUCACACUAAAUGUGAAGUUGGUGGUUGGCAGUGGUGGCGCAGGCCUUUAAUCCCAGCACUCAGCAGGCAGAGGCAGGAAAAUCUCUGAGUUUGAGGCAAGCCUAGUCUACAGAAUGAGUUUCAGGACAUCCAGAACUACACAGGAAACCCUGUCUUGAAAUUUUUUUUAAAAAAGUGAAGUUGGUAAAGAGCAUAAGUAAGCAAUUUCAAAACUAGAAACAUGACUGGGCCAGAAGAUUUAUGAAAAUACUUCAAGAGAAUUUUUUCUUUUUUCCAAAUGCAUGGGCAGUUGUGUUAAUUACCUACUCCUCUUUGGAAACCACAUAAUAGGGCUUAUUUACUUGAUAAUUGUGUACUUUAUAUUUGCUCCUUUGGUCAAUUAGAGGUAACACAAUGAUUACAUAAAUACAAAUAACAAUACCUGUUUUCUCUUGCAGUUCUAAGAGUUGAACUGAUUGACUUGAGCACACUAGGCAAGCACAGAUAUAUCACAUUAUAAAUCUGGGGAGGAUUCAUUUUCUUCUACUAUGUCCUGUUGUCAAACAUACGCUCAAACACUGCUGAGGAGUAGGUAUUGAUCCAGCCUAUCCAGAGGACAGGUUGUCAAUUGUGCAUAAAUUAAACUCACUGAUUUACUGCUGGGGAUUUAUGCUGGGGAAAUAAGCAAGCAUGAACCAGCCCAAAGAUUAACUGCAACCCUAUUCAUAGCACCAUUGAUUAUAACACAAAACCUUUGAAAAAUAAAAAAAAAAAACUAAGAGGGUGUCUUUUAAGAGGGAAUUCAUUCAACUUCUCUUAGUGUAGCUCUUCAAAGAUGCAUAAUUUCCACUAUGAAAUUAAAUGAUUUUGUAGAAAAGUCCUUAGUGAUGAGAAGGUAUUUAUAAUAUGUCAUCAAAUAAAAAGAGUGGGUUAUAAACCCCAAUAUUUAGUAGAAUACCAAACUUGUAAAAAACACAACACAUUUAUAGCUAUACAUCUGGGCAAUGCAUAAUAAAAACAUCCAUUGUUAGUGUUGGGAAUUAUGGAAAGGAACCUGUGCUGUAUUAAUUUUCUUUUCAUGCUUUUCCAUUUUUUCUGAGUUUUUAAAUGAGUGUUUUUGUGAUUCUUCUUUUUUGCUUUGUUCCAAUUACUUGCAUUCUUGUUUUAAGAUUCAUUUUAAAAUACAUGUGUAAUGUGUGACUUUUCCUUGAUACCUGUUCAAUAAAGGUGUACUUUCUCUUUUGUUAAAAUUUCCUUUGUUUAUAUGGAACUUAAAUAGUUGGGGUUGUACUUCCUUAGUGCCACCCUUUGACCUCGAACUGGAAGGAAAGCUAGAAGUAAACCAUAUCAGAGGCAAAAAGAAGAGAAUCAAACCAACCAUUAAGGGAGCCAGCUGAGCUGUAGCGGGUUCAAAAAGAGACCAGAGAGGAAGAGUCAAGCAGCAUUACCGUCAGCCAUUACUAGCACACAGACUAAAUUACCUUGUGUUUAAGUCAUUGUCGAUGAGAUUAAUUGAAUGUGUUGAAUGAAAUUUGUGCUGCAUGAAGUUGAACUGUAUCUUGGAAA
Long non-coding RNA from Peromyscus californicus insignis, 6454 nucleotides. RefSeq lists it as uncharacterized. NCBI's taxonomy places the organism in Eukaryota, Metazoa, Chordata, Mammalia, Rodentia, Cricetidae. The record is from RefSeq and is a predicted model, not a curated record. The transcript is spliced from 6 exons.